CGGUCGUACUCCCCAGGCGGUGUGUUUAUCGGUUUCCUGCGACACUGAAAAUAAAUUUCCAACGUCUAACACACAUCGUUUACGGCAUGGACUACGAGGGUAUCUAAUCCUCUUCGCUACCCAUGCUUUCGUUCCUCAGUGUCAGUAAUGAUCCAGAAAGCUGCCUUCGCAGUUGGUAUUCUUUCUAAUAUCUACGAAUUUCACCUCUACACUAGAAAUUCUGCUUUCCUCUAUCAUACUCUAGCUGAAAAGUUUUGAUGGCAGUUCCAGAGUUAAGCUCUGGGAUUUCACCACCAACUUUUUCAACCACCUACGAACUCUUUAAGCCCAGUAAUUCCGAACUACGCUAGGUCCCUUCGUAUUACCGCGGCUGCUGGCACGAAGUUAGCCGGACCUUCUUAUUCGGGUACAGUCAUUUUCUUCCCCGACGAAAGAGCUUUACAACCCAAAGGCCUUCUUCACUCACGCGGCAUCGCUGCAUCAGAGUUUCCUCCAUUGUGCAAGAUUCCCCACUGCUGCCUCCCGUAGGAGUUUGGGCCGUGUCUCAGUCCCAAUGUGGCUGAUCAUCCUCUCAAAUCAGCUAUUGAUCAUAGUCUUGGUAGGCCAUUACCCUACCAACAAACUAAUCAAGUGCGGGCUCAUCCAAUGGUGCAUAAAGCUUUCUCCGUAAAGACUUAUCCGGUAUUAGCACAAGUUUCCUCGUGUUAUUCCAGGCCAAAGGGUAGAUACCCACAUGUUACUCACCCGUCUGCCACUAAGCAUUGCUACUUCGUUCGACUUGCAUGUGUUAGGCGUGCCGCCAGCGUACGUUCUGAGCCAGGAUCAAACUCU
RNAcentral lists this ribosomal RNA (831 nucleotides) under uncultured bacterium. RNAcentral describes it as "partial 16S ribosomal RNA". The record is from RNAcentral.